RNAcentral lists this ribosomal RNA (2058 nucleotides) under Salmonella enterica subsp. enterica serovar Paratyphi B var. L(+) tartrate +. RNAcentral describes it as "partial 23S ribosomal RNA". It matches the Rfam family "Bacterial large subunit ribosomal RNA", at positions 137 to 2215 of the family's 2925-position model. Lineage: Bacteria; Pseudomonadati; Pseudomonadota; Gammaproteobacteria; Enterobacterales; Enterobacteriaceae. The record is from RNAcentral.
GAUUCGUCACACUAUCAUUAACUGAAUCCAUAGGUUAAUGAGGCGAACCGGGGGAACUGAAACAUCUAAGUACCCCGAGGAAAAGAAAUCAACCGAGAUUCCCCCAGUAGCGGCGAGCGAACGGGGAGGAGCCCAGAGCCUGAAUCAGCAUGUGUGUUAGUGGAAGCGUCUGGAAAGGCGCGCGAUACAGGGUGACAGCCCCGUACACAAAAGCGCAUGUGCUGUGAGCUCGAUGAGUAGGGCGGGACACGUGGUAUCCUGUCUGAAUAUGGGGGGACCAUCCUCCAAGGCUAAAUACUCCUGACUGACCGAUAGUGAACCAGUACCGUGAGGGAAAGGCGAAAAGAACCCCGGCGAGGGGAGUGAAAAAGAACCUGAAACCGUGUACGUACAAGCAGUGGGAGCACAGGUUUACCUGUGUGACUGCGUACCUUUUGUAUAAUGGGUCAGCGACUUAUAUUCUGUAGCAAGGUUAACCGUAUAGGGGAGCCGUAGGGAAACCGAGUCUUAACCGGGCGUUAAGUUGCAGGGUAUAGACCCGAAACCCGGUGAUCUAGCCAUGGGCAGGUUGAAGGUUGGGUAACACUAACUGGAGGACCGAACCGACUAAUGUUGAAAAAUUAGCGGAUGACCUGUGGCUGGGGGUGAAAGGCCAAUCAAACCGGGAGAUAGCUGGUUCUCCCCGAAAGCUAUUUAGGUAGCGCCUCGUGAAUUCAUCUCCGGGGGUAGAGCACUGUUUCGGCUAGGGGGCCAUCCCGGCUUACCAACCCGAUGCAAACUGCGAAUACCGGAGAAUGUUAUCACGGGAGACACACGGCGGGUGCUAACGUCCGUCGUGAAGAGGGAAACAACCCAGACCGCCAGCUAAGGUCCCAAAGUCAUGGUUAAGUGGGAAACGAUGUGGGAAGGCCCAGACAGCCAGGAUGUUGGCUUAGAAGCAGCCAUCAUUUAAAGAAAGCGUAAUAGCUCACUGGUCGAGUCGGCCUGCGCGGAAGAUGUAACGGGGCUAAACCAUGCACCGAAGCUGCGGCAGCGACGCUUAUGCGUUGUUGGGUAGGGGAGCGUUCUGUAAGCCUGUGAAGGUGUGUCGUGAGGCAUGCUGGAGGUAUCAGAAGUGCGAAUGCUGACAUAAGUAACGAUAAAGCGGGUGAAAAGCCCGCUCGCCGGAAGACCAAGGGUUCCUGUCCAACGUUAAUCGGGGCAGGGUGAGUCGACCCCUAAGGCGAGGCCGAAAGGCGUAGUCGAUGGGAAACGGGUUAAUAUUCCCGUACUUGGUGUUACUGCGAAGGGGGGACGGAGAAGGCUAUGUUGGCCGGGCGACGGUUGUCCCGGUUUAAGCGUGUAGGUGUGUGUUCCAGGUAAAUCCGGUUCACUUUAACACUGAGGCGUGACGACGAGGCACUACGGUGCUGAAGCAACAAAUGCCCUGCUUCCAGGAAAAGCCUCUAAGCAUCAGGUAACAUCAAAUCGUACCCCAAACCGACACAGGUGGUCAGGUAGAGAAUACCAAGGCGCUUGAGAGAACUCGGGUGAAGGAACUAGGCAAAAUGGUGCCGUAACUUCGGGAGAAGGCACGCUGACACGUAGGUGAAGUGAUUUACUCAUGGAGCUGAAGUCAGUCGAAGAUACCAGCUGGCUGCAACUGUUUAUUAAAAACACAGCACUGUGCAAACACGAAAGUGGACGUAUACGGUGUGACGCCUGCCCGGUGCCGGAAGGUUAAUUGAUGGGGUCAGCGCAAGCGAAGCUCCUGAUCGAAGCCCCGGUAAACGGCGGCCGUAACUAUAACGGUCCUAAGGUAGCGAAAUUCCUUGUCGGGUAAGUUCCGACCUGCACGAAUGGCGUAAUGAUGGCCAGGCUGUCUCCACCCGAGACUCAGUGAAAUUGAACUCGCUGUGAAGAUGCAGUGUACCCGCGGCAAGACGGAAAGACCCCGUGAACCUUUACUAUAGCUUGACACUGAACAUUGAGCCUUGAUGUGUAGGAUAGGUGGGAGGCUUUGAAGUGUGGACGCCAGUCUGCAUGGAGCCGACCUUGAAAUACCACCCUUUAAUGUUU